AGAGUUUGAUCCUGGCUCAGAUUGAACGCUGGCGGCAUGCUUUACACAUGCAAGUCGAACGGCAGCGGGGGCUUCGGCCCGCCGGCGAGUGGCGAACGGGUGAGUAAUGCAUCGGAACGUGCCCAGUCAUGGGGGAUAACUACGCGAAAGCGUAGCUAAUACCGCAUACGCCCUGAGGGGGAAAGCGGGGGAUCGCAAGACCUCGCGUGAUUGGAGCGGCCGAUGUCGGAUUAGCUAGUUGGUGGGAUAAAGGCCUACCAAGGCGACGAUCCGUAGCGGGUCUGAGAGGAUGAUCCGCCACACUGGGACUGAGACACGGCCCAGACUCCUACGGGAGGCAGCAGUGGGGAAUUUUGGACAAUGGGGGCAACCCUGAUCCAGCCAUGCCGCGUGAGUGAAGAAGGCCUUCGGGUUGUAAAGCUCUUUCAGACGGAAAGAAAUCG
RNAcentral lists this ribosomal RNA (443 nucleotides) under uncultured bacterium. Its description in RNAcentral is "bacterial SSU rRNA". It matches the Rfam family "Bacterial small subunit ribosomal RNA", at positions 8 to 453 of the family's 1533-position model. The record is from RNAcentral.